GUGUCAGCCGCCGCGGUAAUACCAGCUCCGCGAGUGGUCGGGACGAUUAUUGGGCCUAAAGCGUCCGUAGCCGGCCUAUCAAGUCUCUGGUUAAACCUCAAGGCUCAACCUUGAGAUCGCUGGAGAUACUGUUAGGCUAGGGGGCGGGAGAGGUUGAGGGUACUUCGCGGGUAGGGGCGAAAUCCUAUAAUCCGCGAAGGACCACCAGUGGCGAAGGCGCUCAACUGGAACGCGCCCGACGGUGAGGGACGAAAGCCAGGGGAGCAAAGGGGAUUAGAUACCCCCGUAGUCCUGGCUGUAAACGAUGCGGGCUAGGUGUUGGGUUGGCUUCGUGCCAACCCGGUGCCGCAGUGAAGACGAUAAGCCCGCCGCCUGGGAAGUACGGCUGCAAGGCUGAA
Molecule: ribosomal RNA, 398 nt
Filed under: uncultured bacterium
Lineage: Bacteria
Description: bacterial SSU rRNA
Rfam family: Archaeal small subunit ribosomal RNA
Source: RNAcentral